Molecule: unclassified non-coding RNA, 549 nt
Filed under: Hevea brasiliensis (rubber tree)
Lineage: Eukaryota; Viridiplantae; Streptophyta; Magnoliopsida; Malpighiales; Euphorbiaceae
Source: RNAcentral
GUUAACACCAUUAAGGCCCCAGUGGCAUCAAUUCCUCCUUCCUUCCACGCAUCUCCACUCAUGUAAUAAACAUGGCACCCAAUGAGGUAACCAAAUCCCAGAAUGAACGUAAGGAUUCCACAGUAGGGGCGAAACAGAAGCAUGGAAGCGUAACCCAACAACAUGGGCACCAAAAAAUGAAGAUUUGAAUAAAACCCGAAUGAGAGAUACGAAAGAAAAGCCCCAGACAAGGCCGCGAAUAGGUGCUUUCCGAGUUUACCAGGGACGAGUCGAUGGAUGAAACUCACUGGAAUCGUCACCACGAAGCAGAGCAGGAACCGCAGCACAGGGAUAGAUACCCCGAUCACCGCGGACAUGGAUUCCAUGUCUAAACCCAUAUUCAAUUCGUGUGCUGCGGUGCGUCCACUUUGGAUCGUACAGGCGAGUGAACUUAACUGGGUGGCUUCUCUGGACUCACCGAGUUAACAACCAGUUUAAGCAGGCUGCUCUCCUGGGAAGGCAGAAAACAAACCAAAAGGGAGUUAAAAGUUUCUGAGAUUUGUGCUUUUC